This 439-nucleotide ribosomal RNA is filed under the name uncultured bacterium. RNAcentral's name for it is "partial 16S ribosomal RNA". It matches the Rfam family "Bacterial small subunit ribosomal RNA", at positions 338 to 795 of the family's 1533-position model. The record is from RNAcentral.
CCUACGGGUGGCAGCAGUCGAGAAUCAUUCACAAUGGGGGAAACCCUGAUGGUGCGACGCCGCGUGGGUGAAGGAGCGUUUCGGCGCGUAAAGCCCUAUCGGCAGGGAAGAAGAUGACGGUACCUGACCAAGAAGCCCCGGCUAACUACGUGCCAGCAGCCGCGGUAAUACGUAGGGGGCAAGCGUUAUCCGGAUUUACUGGGUGUAAAGGGGGCGUAGGCGGAUUUUUAAGUCAGCGGUAAAAUGUCCGGGCUCAACCCGGGCCGGCCGUUGAAACUGGGGAUCUUGAGUGGGCGAGAAGUAUGCGGAAUGCGUGGUGUAGCGGUGAAAUGCAUAGAUAUCACGCAGAACUCCGAUUGCGAAGGCAGCAUACCGGCGCCCGACUGACGCUGAGGCACGAAAGCGUGGGGAUCGAACAGGAUUAGAUACCCCUGUAGUC